Molecule: non-coding RNA, 20 nt
Filed under: Arabidopsis thaliana (thale cress)
Lineage: Eukaryota; Viridiplantae; Streptophyta; Magnoliopsida; Brassicales; Brassicaceae
Source: RNAcentral
AGAAUCCUGAUGAUGCUGCA